This 279-nucleotide unclassified non-coding RNA is filed under the name plant metagenome. RNAcentral's name for it is "partial contains small subunit ribosomal RNA, internal transcribed spacer 1, and 5.8S ribosomal RNA". The record is from RNAcentral.
UCUCUGUAGGUGAACCUGCGGAAGGAUCAUUACCGUACACAAUGUGAGGGGCCUACGAGGGCUGUUGCUCUAUCAACAGUUGUCCACGCCGGAGUGUUCCCCCUUGCAUCAUAAUCCACCUCACCCUUUGCGCACCACCGCGCGGGCAUCCUUCGGGCCCUUCUCGUAGCGGGGCUCGCGCUUUCACACAAACCCCCCUUUUAAAAGUGUAGAAUGAUCACAUUUAUGCAAUUAUUACAACUUUCAACAACGGAUCUCUUGGCUCUCGCAUCCAUGCAC